GUAUCUAAAAAGGUUGGUAGAGCCAACUUAAUAAAGACAAUUUAAUGGCCGCGGUAACACUGACCGUGAUAAUGUAGCGUAAUCAAUAGUCAAUUAAUUGUUGGCCGGUAUGAAUGGUGUCACGAAGGUCUCACUGUCUUAAGGAAAUUUCCAGUGAAAUUGAAUUUGUAGUGAAGAUGCUACAUCCAAAUUGUUAGACAAGAAGACCCCAUGAAACUUUACUGGAAACUUAUGUGGCUGACUUAAAUAGUUUAAAAAUGUGGUGCGGGUCAACUAAGGCUAGAAAAGCGCACUUUUUUAUUUGAAGAAAGGCAACUCACGAACUUAUGUUUUUGGGGUUUGAUAAGUGGGACAGUUUGGUUGGGGCGACCGCCUUUAAAAAGUAACGAAGGCGGGCUUAAGAUACAUAUUUAAUUGUGUCUGACUGCCAGGGGGAGACCCAGAGCAGAUACUUAUCUUUGGACGGUGGGUUUAAGUGACCCGUUAAUUUAGGGUGAAAUAGUUAACGAUAAACAAA
Molecule: ribosomal RNA, 517 nt
Filed under: Galaxea horrescens
Lineage: Eukaryota; Metazoa; Cnidaria; Anthozoa; Scleractinia; Euphylliidae
Description: partial 16S ribosomal RNA
Rfam family: Bacterial large subunit ribosomal RNA
Source: RNAcentral